This 914-nucleotide ribosomal RNA is filed under the name uncultured archaeon. RNAcentral's name for it is "bacterial SSU rRNA". It matches the Rfam family "Archaeal small subunit ribosomal RNA", at positions 1 to 922 of the family's 1478-position model. The record is from RNAcentral.
UUCCGGUUGAUCCUGCCGGACCUGACUGCUUUCGGAUUGAUACUAAGCCAUGUGAGUCGUUGUAGCAAUACAAGGCGUACGGCUCAGUAACACGUAGUCAAUCUAACCUAUGGACGGGGAUAACCUCGGGAAACUGAGGAUAGAACCCGAUAGAUCAUAAUUCCUGGAACGGUUUAUGGUCCAAACGAUUCGUUGCCGUAGGAUGGGACUGCGGCCUAUCAGCUUGUUGGUGAGGUAAUGGCCCACCAAGGCUAUUACAGGUACGGGCUCUGAGAGGAGAAGCCCGGAGAUGGGUACUGAGACACGGACCCAGGCCCUAUGGGGCGCAGCAGGCGAGAAAACUUUGCAAUGUGCGCAAGCACGACAAGGUUAAUCCGAGUGUUUCCUGCUUAAGGAAUCUUUUGUUAGUUGUAAAACCACUAUCGAAUAAGGGGUGGGCAAGUUCUGGUGUCAGCCGCCGCGGUAAAACCAGCACCUCAAGUGGUCAGGAGGAUUAUUGGGCCUAAAGCAUCCGUAGCCUGUUCUAUAAGUUUCCGGUUAAAUCCAUUAGCUCAACUAAUGGGCUGCCGAAAAUACUGUAGAACUAGGGAGUGGGAGAGGUAGACGGUAUUCGGUAGGAAGGGGUAAAAUCCUUUGAUCUAUUGAUGACCACCUGUGGCGAAGGCGGUCUACCAGAACACGUUCGACGGUGAGGGAUGAAAGCUGGGGGAGCAAACCGGAUUAGAUACCCGGGUAGUCCCAGCUGUAAACGAUGCAGACUCGGUGAUGCGCUGGCUUGUGGCCAGUGCAGUGCCGCAGGAAAGCCGUUAAGUUUGCCGCCUGGGAAGUACGUACGCAAGUAUGAAACUUAAAGGAAUUGGCGGGGGAGCACCACAAGGGGUGAAGCCUGCGGUUCAAUUGGAUUCAACGCCGGA